GGUUCGGUGGUGUAGUUGGUCAUCACGUCAGUCUAACACUUCUGUCGUUCACUGAAGGUCCCCGGUUCAAACCCGGGCCGAAUCA
This is a non-coding RNA of Aulographum hederae CBS 113979, 85 nucleotides long. The record is from the annotation of a GenBank genome assembly. Lineage: Eukaryota; Fungi; Ascomycota; Dothideomycetes; Aulographales; Aulographaceae.